Zalophus californianus (California sea lion) is the source of this 1966-nucleotide long non-coding RNA. RefSeq lists it as uncharacterized. The record is from RefSeq and is a predicted model, not a curated record. Lineage: Eukaryota; Metazoa; Chordata; Mammalia; Carnivora; Otariidae. The transcript has 3 exons.
CAGCCCGGUGCAGGAGAGCCCAUUCUAGGGUGAUGUGCUGAGGAACUCGGACUUUGCUGCUCCAAGUCAGCCCCCCAAAGCAAAUCACGGAGGCAAGCCAGCCAGGGCUGAAGCGUUUGUGGGGAGAGUUGAUUCAGCAGGGACGGUGGCUGAGAUCUGGGCCUUUUAGGACCCUGAAGAGAGAACUGAUUACUUGGGGACCAAAGGCCACUUGCCAGCCUCACGACCCAGGACACAUGUUUUUCAAGGUGCUGGGAGCCAUCCCUUUGGAAUGUAUCAACCACAAGCUGGUGUUUCUAUAGUGUGCAUGGGGCGGUCCUCUGAGCCAAGAGAGCACAAGCAAGGGGAGCAGCAGAGGGAGAGGGAGAAGCAGACUCAUUGCUGAGCAGGGAGCCUGAUGUGGGCCUCGAUCCCAGGACCCCGGGAUCACGACCCAGGCUAAAGGCAGACGCUUCACCAAUGGAGCCAUCCAGUCGCCCCAGAAGGUUGUGUUUUUAAUUCUAUUUCCCCAGCACACUUGCCAGGACUCCCUUUUCCUCUGUCCCCUGGUACAACCCCUCCUGCAUAACACACUGGGAGUGAUGCUUGAACAGUACAAGUUUGGCUGUAUCACGACUCUACGUAAAGACUUUGGUGGACCCGGACCACAGCUGGCCAGUUCUCGAAUCCCAGGAGCCAGCUGCCACUCACCUCCCGCACCCACUAUGCCUCAGCACACUGGCCACCUCGUUCUUCCUUGAAAUUCAUGAGCUCAUUCACACUGUAGGGCUUUCCACGGGCUACUCCCUUUCUCUGAAAUGUUCCUUUCUUCUGGUCUUUGCUAGUCUAGGUACUUGGGUCACGUUUACAUGUCAACUUCUCAGAAAAUCUUUUCUGGGUCACCGAAGUGGUAGUCAUUCAGUGACCCUGUCAUGUAUUAAAUCGUCUGAAUCUCUGUUUACAACACUUUCUUCUCUAUCUCCCGGAGCCGUCAUAUUUACAUGUGGUUGUGUCUCACCUGGGACAGACAGCCCUGAGAGAAGGGCUUGAUAAGCCAGGCACUCAGUAUACUGCUUUACAUACAGUAGGCACUCAAUAAAUACUGGCUGAACAAAGUAUUAAAAGCACUUAGCCUGACGCCUGGCCCAUAAUUCAUAUUUAAUAGACAGUAACUAUUACAAGCAUUAACAUGAUAUAACGAAGGAUAUGUUUCAGAAUGAAGAUAAAUUAUUUGUGAAAAAGUCAUAAUAACAAGUUAAAUAAUCAAUUCUCAAAAAAUAAGUUUAUACUUUUACACAUAUGUUACCUGUAAUGUAAGCCUGGAUUGAAACAGGUAGAAUAAGCUUGGAUUUAAUUAAAAAUAAUAGUCAUUUACAAUGGGCACCAAGAAGAAUGAAGGAAAUGAGAUGUUUAUUUUAAUUUUUUUAAUCUAAAUUAUUUCCUGAUCUGGACCUCCUAUUCAGAAAUUUAGUUUUCAGUUAAUGAUGUUAAUUUUUAUAAAUGGAUAAUGGAGCUGUGUUUCCAUGAAAUGUUUAGAAAGGCAGCAAAAAUACUUGUGUAGAGCUGACUGAUAAAUGGGGAAUAAUAAAUGCAAAGCAAAAAAUUACUAUUUUUUAUGAGCCACAUUAAAAACUAACAAAAAAGUACAUACAAACUACAGUUGAUUAUAAAAGCUGCCAUAAUAUGAAAAACUACAAAUGACAAAGCAUAAGUUUUUAUAUAAAAAAUUAAUUAGUGCUAUGAUAACACUGUGCAAACAUUGGCCUGCACGUUAAAUCUGCAGCCCUCCUGGGUGAGAGUUGCUCGUUUUCUUCUUCUUCUUGAUGAUUCCAAAUUAACCUGCCACGUUUGUGGGUAAAAGGACUUCGGCUUAGACCCUUAGGUCAUCUACUGAAUAGAGCUUUACUCUCCCACUUUUUAAAAAAAGUAUAUUUUUUUAAUUUAUUCAUUUGAGAGAGAGCACAAGCAAGGGCAGAGGGAGAGGGAG